This 71-nucleotide transfer RNA is filed under the name Heterocephalus glaber (naked mole-rat). It matches the Rfam family "tRNA". From Rfam's summary of the family: Transfer RNA (tRNA) molecules are approximately 80 nucleotides in length. The record is from Rfam by way of RNAcentral. Lineage: Eukaryota; Metazoa; Chordata; Mammalia; Rodentia; Bathyergidae.
GUGGAUGUAGCUCAGUGGCAGAGCUCUAGCCUAGUAUGCACGAGGCCCUGGGUUUAACCCCCAGUAUCACA